ACGGCCAUACAACAUUGAAAACACCAGUUCUCGUCCGAUCACCGAAGUUAAGCAAUGUCGGGCCCGGUCAGUACUUAGGAGGGUAACCACCUGGGAACACCGGGUGCUGUAGGCU
RNAcentral lists this ribosomal RNA (115 nucleotides) under Cordylochernes scorpioides. Lineage: Eukaryota; Metazoa; Arthropoda; Arachnida; Pseudoscorpiones; Chernetidae. The record is from RNAcentral.